CAAAACUGGGUCUCGUGCGAUUACCGAAGUUGAGCAGGGUCGAGCCUGGUCAGUACCUAGUAGGGUGACCGCUUGGGAAUUACCAGGUGCUGCAAGC
This is a non-coding RNA of Acanthosepion pharaonis, 97 nucleotides long. The record is from the annotation of a GenBank genome assembly. NCBI's taxonomy places the organism in Eukaryota, Metazoa, Mollusca, Cephalopoda, Sepiida, Sepiidae.